Small nucleolar RNA from Lytechinus pictus (painted urchin), 77 nucleotides. The record is from RefSeq and is a predicted model, not a curated record. Lineage: Eukaryota; Metazoa; Echinodermata; Echinoidea; Temnopleuroida; Toxopneustidae.
CUGCAAUGAUGUGAGAAUUUCUUCACCUGAUAUUAUUCAUGAAGAUAACACAAUCGAGCUUUUUAAAACUGAGCAGA